AGCGAACGCUGGCGGCAGGCCUAACACAUGCAAGUCGAACGGAUCCUUCGGGAUUAGUGGCGGACGGGUGAGUAACACGUGGGAACGUGCCCUUUGGUUCGGAACAACUCAGGGAAACUUGAGCUAAUACCGGAUGUGCCCUUCGGGGGAAAGAUUUAUCGCCAUUGGAGCGGCCCGUGUCUGAUUAGCUAGUUGGUGAGGUAAAGGCUCACCAAGGCGACGAUGAGUAGCUGGUCUGAGAGGAUGAUCAGCAACAUUGGGACUGAGACACGGCCCAAACUCCUACGGGAGGCAGCAGUGGGGAAUCUUGCGCAAUGGGCGAAAGCCUGACGCAGCCAUGCCGCGUGAAUGAUGAAGGUCUUAGGAUUGUAAAAUUCUUUCACCGGGGACGAUAAUGACGGUACCCGGAGAAGAAGCCCCGGCUAACUUCGUGCCAGCAGCCGCAGUAA
Molecule: ribosomal RNA, 449 nt
Filed under: uncultured bacterium
Lineage: Bacteria
Description: partial 16S ribosomal RNA
Rfam family: Bacterial small subunit ribosomal RNA
Source: RNAcentral